RNAcentral lists this unclassified non-coding RNA (2016 nucleotides) under Hevea brasiliensis (rubber tree). The record is from RNAcentral. Lineage: Eukaryota; Viridiplantae; Streptophyta; Magnoliopsida; Malpighiales; Euphorbiaceae.
GCUGUGAAAAUAUUACAAAAAUAAAUAUACUGAAAUAUCAUAAUAUCUGUAAUAUCCUCAUACACUCGCAAUACACUUCUUGUAGAUAGUGCUGACAUUUCAAGCACAUAAAAUAAACUCUAGCAUCCUGAGAGUAAUGCUAGUAACUUAGACUCUAAAAUGACACAAAUAACACAAGAGCAAUAAAAAUACUCGUUAUACAAAUGUGCAGAGCUAUCUCUAAAGGGCGAUCACAACUAAGAUUUACACAAAGGGUAGCGCGCGACAGACACACCCACACACACAUAUAUAUAUAUAAAAUCAUAAACAAUGACAAAAAUCUACGACUUACAUGGAUGAUGAGGAUCUACUUUGAGACUCAAUAAAGCAGAAUCCUUGAUAUCUACUGCUGAGGAGUGUUUCUCAGGCUCAGCUGGUGGUGGUGCAACUUCUGUGGUAGUAGUAAUAGUAGUGGUGGUGGUAUUGGGUUUGAGAAGAAAGCCUCCAAGGCCAAUUUCAUUGCAGGAUACUUGCAGGUUGUUUGCAUUAUAAAUGAGAAGAUCAUCCUCUUCAUUUUCAGACAAGAUGGAAGGAUCAUUCUUCAAAAUAUUGCAAAGCUCCCUUUGAAGUCUUUCAAUGGGUGUAAGACAGCGUUGAACAUUUACAGAUCUCUUUCUUGAACGUAUACCAGACUUCCACAAGCUUCCCUGGAUUAUUCCACCUGGACUUUCACCUCCAUUCUCUUCUUCUUUUUCAUUGUAGCAGCUCUGGAAACAUGAUAUUGCAGAUUCUGAGCUAGAUUUAUUGGUUGUAAAAUCAUCAGAAGCAGGAGAAUGGCAAACGUCAAUGGAGAAGUUUUCUUCAGUACUUAUCAAUUUGCAUUUCUUUGGAGCCGACUUGGAUUUAAUUCUUACCCUUUUAGCAGUUGGUUGUCCUUGGGCAUGCUUAGGUGUAUAGUUUGCAAGACUUCCUCUAAUCCUGUACCUUGAUCCACAGGCAUUGCAUAACACUGGCUUCUCAGGUGGCCCAUUUCUCCAUAGUGGAGUGCUAUUAGUGCCACAAUGAUAACAAGGCCCUUGUUUUCCCAUAUUGACACAAUGCUCAUAAAAUUAAUCCAACUUCAAAUUUGCUCCAAGAUCUCAACCCAAUGAAACAAUAGACAAAUCCAAAUGAAUCUGAUAUAAGAACGGCCAUUUUGGGCGGCCACAAUGCCUUCGCUUGUUGAGCCUGGACUUUAGAUGACACUUUCAACAAGAGAGUCCACAAGUGCAAGUGCAAGACUUGUUGAAGAGUCCUCAAAAUGAGAAUUGCAUUGCCACUUUCACUAAUGGAUUGGAAACAAGAAAGAUGAGAUGAAGGUGGCGGAGUGUUAUCAUAAGUUCAUGCCUAAUUGGCUUGUUGUUCAUUAGCAAAUUGCUUGCCUCAAAGAUAAGAUGGAUUGGAAACAAAAGAUGAGAUUAAGGGAGUGGCGCAUUUUCAUAAGCUCAUGCCUAAAGGGCUAGUAGCUUAAUCGGAAAAAUGCUAACCUGAGAGAUAAGAAUACAUAUAGUAUAAACAAGAAAAAUCAUAUAUAUCCAGAUGCAAACAUGUUAUUACAUCCAGCAACUUCUACUCCCACCGCAGAAGUCAGACGCCCAAGAAAGGCAGCAAAAACUCAAAUAUUGAACUGCCUGCCAGUAGCUGACAACUCGGGAACUCACUGUGUAAGAUCACCAAUUGUGUAUAAUGAAGAUUAGAGCAUUAAGAAUAAAAGAAAAAGAGACCUUGAUACCAUGUUUGCAGUACCACUUGAAAGUAGCACUUGUACUUGUCCACAGUUCACAAAGUAUCUAAACUAAUCCUACCUUGGAUAUGCUGGAUGACAGAAUGAACUUUGACUAGGUGGCAGGUGCCCGCCUUGGCUUAUACUCGAUAUCUGUUAGGCUUCUUAGUAUUGAUGUUGCAUACAUUAAUUAAAGGCAACUUGCACCUUUAGUUGCAUCUCUCAACUAGGGCCAAGACACAAGUUUGAGUCCCGCAUUUCCCUUUUCUAACCAA